CCUGCUGAUGGGUCGCCUUUAGCAGG
Regulatory RNA element from Erwinia sp. Leaf53, 26 nucleotides. It matches the Rfam family "L25-Gammaproteobacteria ribosomal protein leader". The record is from Rfam. NCBI's taxonomy places the organism in Bacteria, Pseudomonadati, Pseudomonadota, Gammaproteobacteria, Enterobacterales, Erwiniaceae.